UACGUAGGGGGCAAGCGUUGUCCGGAUUUAUUGGGCGUAAAGAGCGUGUAGGCGGCCAUACAGGUCAGCUGUGAAAACUCGAGGCUCAACCUCGAGACGUCGGUUGAAACCGUAUGGCUAGAGUCCGGAAGAGGAGAGUGGAAUUCCCGGUGUAGCGGUGAAAUGCGCAGAUAUCGGGAAGAACACCCGUGGCGAAGGCGGCUCUCUGGGACGGUACUGACGCUGAGACGCGAAAGCGUGGGGGAGCGAACAGGG
RNAcentral lists this ribosomal RNA (255 nucleotides) under uncultured bacterium. RNAcentral's name for it is "partial 16S ribosomal RNA". It matches the Rfam family "Bacterial small subunit ribosomal RNA", at positions 524 to 777 of the family's 1533-position model. The record is from RNAcentral.